AUCUUCAAAAGCAAACUUUUAGAAAUCACGUUUCUGUUUUACCUUUUACAGGUAGACUUAUCAAUAGUCAAGUAUUAUACUCAUGAUCCAGAAAACUCCAUUUCAGGUUUCUUGCAUCACACUUAUCCUACAUUUGCUUUUUUUUCACUUUCUUUGUGUUUCUGUUUUGUUUUGUUUCUCUCUGUAUGUUUCAACAUUAGCUUCCAUUACAUUGUUCCAAGAACAAAG
Non-coding RNA from Vicia faba (fava bean), 228 nucleotides. The record is from the annotation of a GenBank genome assembly. NCBI's taxonomy places the organism in Eukaryota, Viridiplantae, Streptophyta, Magnoliopsida, Fabales, Fabaceae.